RNAcentral lists this ribosomal RNA (512 nucleotides) under uncultured Candida. Its description in RNAcentral is "eukaryotic LSU rRNA". It matches the Rfam family "Eukaryotic large subunit ribosomal RNA", at positions 63 to 581 of the family's 3401-position model. Lineage: Eukaryota; Fungi; Ascomycota; Saccharomycetes; Saccharomycetales. The record is from RNAcentral.
AACCAACAGGGAUUGCCUCAGUAACGGCGAGUGAAGCGGCAAAAAGCUCAAAUUUGAAAUCUAACACUUUCAGUGUUCGAGUUGUAAUUUGAAGAAAGUUUCUCUGAGUAGUCCUUUAUCUAUGUUCCUUGGAACAGGACGUCAUAGAGGGUGAGAAUCCCGUAUGAUUUUGGAUACUAUUCUUUGUGAGAUUCUUUCGAAGGGUCGAGUUGUUUGGGAAUGCAGCUCUAAGUGGGUGGUAAAUUCCAUCUAAAGCUAAAUAUUGGCGAGAGACCGAUAGCGAACAAGUACAGUGAUGGAAAGAUGAAAAGAACUCUGAAGAGAGAGUGAAAAAGUACGUGAAAUUGCUGAAAGGGAAGGGCUUUAGGUCAGACUUGGUGUUUAAUGAUUAUCUUCUCUUUUGAGUUGUGCACUCGUUUUCACUGGGCCAAUAUCAGUUUUUGUGGUAGAGCACCUACUGGAAUGUAGCUUUUCUUCGGAUGAGUGUUAUAGCCUUUAGACGAUCUAUUUAC